Molecule: transfer RNA, 73 nt
Filed under: Marmota monax (woodchuck)
Lineage: Eukaryota; Metazoa; Chordata; Mammalia; Rodentia; Sciuridae
Description: tRNA.Ala
Source: RNAcentral
CAGGAUAUAGCUCAGAGGUAGAGCACUUGCCUAGCAUGUAAGAGACCCUUAGGUUCAAUUGUCAGUACACAGG